UACGUAGGGUGCAAGCGUUGUCCGGAAUUAUUUGGCGUAAAGAGCUCGUAGGCGGUUCGUCGCGUCGGCUGUGAAAACCCGGAGCUCAACUCCGGGCCUGCAGUCGAUACGGGCGGACUUGAGUGUUGCAGGGGAGACUGGAAUUCCUGGUGUAGCGGUGAAAUGCGCAGAUAUCAGGAGGAACACCGGUGGCGAAGGCGGGUCUCUGGGCCGAUAUUGACGCUGAGGAGCGAAAGCGUGGGGAGCGAACAGG
This 253-nucleotide ribosomal RNA is filed under the name uncultured bacterium. RNAcentral describes it as "partial 16S ribosomal RNA". It matches the Rfam family "Bacterial small subunit ribosomal RNA", at positions 524 to 776 of the family's 1533-position model. The record is from RNAcentral.